GGAAGAGGAAAUCAAGCCGAUGAACCACCAAGGAGCAUGUGUGAGUCAGUACUAGACAUGUGAUGGUACGAGGAGCAAUGAAUGGAUCCUGCCCUUUUUGGAGGGUCCCAGCCCAUUCUCUACAACGAAGAUUUCCUAGGGCAAAACAGCACUGCAGUUCACAUCAGCCAGGCUCUGAAUGUUCUCCCGUGUGCUGUGGCUCUCCCCCAUGAGGAAGUUUUCACUAUGCAGAGUAUUUUUCUCCAUUAAAAUGAUUAUGUUAAAUAGCUGAGAGGUUCCUCAAUGUCUACUUUUUGAACUGAACUAUCCCACAGUUGGCAGCUUCUGAGAACAGCAGACACGAGGUUACUAAACCCAUUCAUUUCUCAAACGCACCCACAUUUCUAAUGGCUACAGAGAUCCAUCUUUAAAGUCCUCCGAGAUCCAUUGGAAUGAAGGGCACUUUGUGAGGACGCAGUAAUUAUUAUGGGAUUUAGAGGUGUGUGGAAAUGAUUCACGGAGGCAUUUCCCAGCCAGUACGCUCUGGGAGCCAGGUGAGCUCUUCCCUGGAAUGUGAAGUAUGCAGCGCAGCAACCGGGAGGAACAGGUUUGGCAGGACAUUUUAAGCUGCGCAGGGCAGACAGCCUCUUCAGAGCCACAUCCCUGCGCUACCUGGCUCCCAGCUGGAUGCUCCUCUCUGCCACACCGUCCCUGCUGAGCCAGAGAGGAUGGACACGCUGCGAAGGAGCCUUUCUCGCUGGAAGAGGUACCACAUCAAGGUGCACUUGGCUGAUGAGGACCUGAUGAUGCCGCUGACGGUCAAGCCCAGAGACACAGUGAUGGACCUGCGGGCUUACCUGGUGCGGGAGGGCGUCACUUCCUGGAAGAAGACAUUUUAUUACAACUCCAGGCAGCUUGAAGAGCAUGAGACUCUGAAAGAAGCCAAUAUCCAGAAUGGCUCAGUCCUGCUUCUCGUCAGCAACAAAAGAUAAUGUCAAAGAGCACAGUAAAAGCCAUGGGAGACGGGGAGCGUGACAAGCGCUGAAAGGAAGCAGAUGGAAGGGAGCCUGGCCGUGGAACAGCAGCGUGGCCACGGGUGCUGGUAAGUCCCUCCCUGCACGCCAGCUCCAGGACUGUUCAAAAGCAGCUCCGCGACUUUUAAGCACAGUGUCUAUGAAUAAUUAACCCCAAAACAACUACAAGUAACAUUUCCUCAUCAGUGAGCCACGUGGUCUGAGCUGCCCACGGAGAAGCGUGGGUUGGGCUGACUCAGCUCCUGAGGGCAAUGAAUCAGCGUGAAAUGCCCAGGAAAGGGUAAAUCCUGUCUGGGUGGUGAAGCAAGAAGGAGCUGAGGUGGGCUUUGCUCAGGGCCCCAGAUGAGGAUGGUGGAGAUCUGAGCCUCCUUCCGACCCCUCACAGGAUUCCUCAGUGAGCUGGCCUUUUCCUAUGUGCAAGGCUGAGAUAAUUUCUUGUUCCCUUUCUCCCACUCUUUGUCCAUCCAACUGUAAGUGACUCAGGGUAGGGACUGUUUGUGCUUCUGAGCACAAUGUGGUGUGGCCCUGAACUCCAGGUUGAAAGCUCCAUCCGGCAAACAAGUGCUAAGUGCACACAAAACAGUCCUGGUGCUUGACAGCCUUUAUAUAUCCCAAGGACAGAGGCUGGCUGGUCGCUGUCAUGGGGACUGCCCUGCCUGACAUUAGGGCCACGCUGUUACACCAAAACGACCUUAUGUUGAGACAGGGCUUAUAGAGCAGUGAGCUUCCUUGUGUUGUUCUCCCAUCUCUGUGCCAGUGCCCCAACUCCUGAACCAGCUGACCUGAUUCAACCCAGUUUGACAGAGAGCAAGAGGUCUCACAGAUCCAAGAUUCCUGCAAUUUUUGUGAAAAAGCAGCAGCUGGAUAGAAACAGAUAUUUAAGUUAAUAUCCUACUGCAGGAGAGGUAAUUGUAUCUCUGCUCCUACCUGGUUUGAGGUGCAGCAGCUGGGUCAGCUGGCAUUGAGAUAGUAGCUGGUCAAUCAGCGCCUCUCUGCAAAGCUGCACCGCGCCUGCAGGGCAGGAAGCUGCUGGGAGCUGCACACUUUGCUGGGGAGGCCCUGGAGGGGAUAAGGGUGCCCUGGGGAUAUUGGGAGCACUGAGAAAGGGAGUGAAAAAAAAGCAGUUGUAAUCCAUAAGUCAGGAGAACGGGUUUCACCAGUUCCCUGCUGACAGAACAACUCACUUUUUAGGUUCAAACUUCUGUUCAGGACAGAAUGAAUGUUUCUUUAACCACUACAGUACGUUCCCCAGGAAGUUUUAGUGAUCAACGACCGAGCACCGAACCCCCAAACCUGCAUCUUCCGUUGCUAACUGGAAAACAUGCCCUUCUGGAUUUUUUUGGUGACAAGAAAAUGUUUGAUUUGAAGAAACACCGUUGAAAAUGGAGUUUCUCAUUUUCCAGGAGAUCUUUUUUUUCCUUUUUCCUACAAACAAGAAGUGUUUCCCCACGUAUUUCCUUGGACUUUGUGCGGAAAGAGAUUCUGAGAUAGACAAGGAGGGGUGAACGCAGCCACAGCUGAAGAGCCUGCAGAGCAAGCAGCAGGGGACAAAGGGAGGGAUGGGACCCAACGUGGGAAGUGGGGACGUGCCUUUCCCAAGGGCACCCAGCACGCCGGGAGCGCGGUGCUGCCGCGGUUGGGUCAGCGUUCCUGCCACGCGGCGCCUCCCCGCGUCUGUCUGUCCUGCAGUAAUGAGACUGCUGGAGCAGAGCCAGUGCUUUUCUGAGAGCUUGAGAAGCGCCUUGCGCAGCUCAGGUGCAGCCAUAAGUAACAAUUUAAAUUUAACGAUAAUAUUAAAGCGGAGGCAUACCACUGAAGAUGGGGCAUAUUCAACAGCAGAGUCCUAAAUCAAUGUCUCCCUUCUUAUAAAAUGUACAGUUUGUCUCCCAAAGUCUGGGAGACCAGUAUUUACCUCUCUGGUCCUGGAAAUCACGGUCUUCUCUCUGCAGAAGGCGAAGUGACCUGAGUAGAAUUCUGCCCAGUCUCUGCUCCAGCACCUCGCGCUGUAGCUGGCGGCUUUGGUCAGCGCUGGUAGUCUUUCUGCAGCUCAGGAGGAUAGCUGGAAAGAAUAAAUUAACUGUGGUGGUGUGGGGAGCUGCUUGGAAUAAUGUCUUUUUCAGAGAUAGGCUUUGAUUGACACUUCAGAUCUGGCUGACAAUCUUAUAUUCUAAGUGCAGUUGCUGCCUUUCUUCAGAGCAAGAAGAGCUGGUUUGGUUGCUGUCCUUCAAAUGAUGGAUCUUAUCACAUGGGAAAAAGAAGAAAAAAAGCAAACCACCUGCAAACAGCCACAGGUGUGGACAAGACCGAGGACUGAGGCUGAGAGGUGUGCAAGCUCCCAUCUGCGUGCCAGCCUGGGCGCACUGCAGGGUGGAGACGUUUGCAGCUUCACGCUCUGCAUCGUGGAUGGGCUUUCUUCUUGUCAGCAGUGCUUGUCUUUGGGAUCCUCUGUUGCUGGGCCAUCACCGAGAGGAUUACUGUUUGCUCUUUGCUGCUGCAUUCACCUCCACUCGCAGCUGCAGCCAGGCCUUCCCAACCAGCUGCUUUUCCUGAGCUGCAGGAGCAGAAGACAAGCCCAGGCAGGGGCCAUCUGCGGCAGCUGCUGCGCUCCAGCAGGGCAGCUCAGGCUGAGGCACGCUGCAGUGCUGCUUCUCUCCUCUGCCCGCGUCGCGGAUGCAUCAAGCGCUUCUGUUUACAGGGCCAUCAGUCUGGCAGCUUUCCUCGACGCUAAAUUUACUUUUUGAAGUUACAUCAGUGUUGUACCCAGAGGGAAUGAAGGAACAGAUGCAGCCUGUGAAGUCUGGCUUUAAUUCACCUGCCUCAUUUAAUUUCCUGCCCUGCCUUCUAAUCAAUGAGUCUGCGCUGGCAGCCCUGGGAAUACCGAGGUUUUCUCACAUACAGGAGGACUCAGUGUGGUGGAUCUCAGGGUCUCGAGCAGGCCGUGUCCCUUCUCCUUUGAGGCUUUCUGUGCCCCAGAAGCACUGCACACACGUGGUGGCUGCAUCACAUUUCCUUUAAGGGGCCAGUGGAGGGGUCCUUCACCAGGACAGCAGCGUUACAUCACCUCAGCUGUUUUCAGGACUUCGUUGCCUCAGAUACUUGGGACUCUCAUGAAACCUGAUGAAAGGGUCUGGGGCAUUUCUGCUUUGCUGAGCAGGCUCCAGCUGUCCUGUUUCUUUCUUUUUUUUUUUUUGAGCUCAUGUUAAUUCCAGGCAGCACUGCCCAGUUGCUUAAUCAGCCAGUGUCAAAACCCUGGGAGAGAAGAAGGCUGCCCUUGGCUGGCAGCACUUAUUUUGUGACGUUGCUGCUUCACCUCAUGUAUUAUAAUCUGUAUCAGAUUGCUCUUGGCUUGCUAAAAUGGACAAUUAGGAUCCAGUUGUAAUGCAAAUUGCACAGUGGAAUAAAAACCAUGGGGAACAAAAUCACAAAUAAGUAUUUAUGUCAGCCUUUGUUACCGCGUGAUGGGUCCUGCUCAGUCACUGCUCACUGCGAAGCAUUAGACAGAGGAGAACCUGGCGUGCCUUUGUGUUUUAUAGGCACGAGCUGCUCUGUGUAAGUCUGCCUUUAGGCACUCGCGGGCCCCGAUAAUGUGCAUGUGUGCAAACCUAACAGACAGAUUGCCGCCUACACUGGAAAUUUGAUGAUUGCCUUGUUUUUUCCGCGGCUCUGUUUUCUAUACUGCAGGCCAAACCCAUGGGGUAAUUUCCAGUCUCUCUGCACAGGGCUGAGAUGACGUGGUGAGAGAAGUGCAGAGAUGCUGAAAUUUCAAUCUGCCACAUAAUGUGCUCCUAAUACUGAUGGCCUUAUAAGUGUGUUGUUGACAUUGGUGGUGUUGCUGUCGUUCUUGCCAUCGUUGUCUUUCCUAUGUCUGGUGCAAAACAUUAUAAAUGAAGAGGACUAUUCAAAUUUAUAAAGGAAACUAUAGUUUCUUUGGAAUUAAACACACAGGAGUCUUGUAACGCA
This is a long non-coding RNA of Numida meleagris (helmeted guineafowl), 4973 nucleotides long. RefSeq lists it as uncharacterized. The transcript is spliced from 3 exons. NCBI's taxonomy places the organism in Eukaryota, Metazoa, Chordata, Aves, Galliformes, Numididae. The record is from RefSeq and is a predicted model, not a curated record.